AGGGGAACUGCUGGGUCAUAUGGCAAUUCUAUUUUUAAUCUUUUGAGGAACCACCAUACUGUUUUCCACAAAGACUGUACCAUUUUACUUUCUCACCAACAGU
This 103-nucleotide microRNA precursor is filed under the name Marmota monax (woodchuck). Lineage: Eukaryota; Metazoa; Chordata; Mammalia; Rodentia; Sciuridae. The record is from RNAcentral.